This is a non-coding RNA of Bos taurus (domestic cattle), 73 nucleotides long. Lineage: Eukaryota; Metazoa; Chordata; Mammalia; Artiodactyla; Bovidae. The record is from Rfam.
UCCCUCGUGGUCCAGUGGCUAAGACUCCAUGCUUCCAAAGCAGGGAGCCCAGGUUUGAUCCCUGGUGAGGGAA